RNAcentral lists this ribosomal RNA (253 nucleotides) under uncultured bacterium. RNAcentral describes it as "partial 16S ribosomal RNA". It matches the Rfam family "Bacterial small subunit ribosomal RNA", at positions 524 to 776 of the family's 1533-position model. The record is from RNAcentral.
UACGGGGGGGGCAAGCGUUGUUCGGAAUUACUGGGCGUAAAGGGCGCGUAGGCGGUCGGCCAAGUGGAAGGUGAAAUCCCCGGGCUUAACCUGGGAACUGCCCUCCAAACUGUUUGACUUGAGUCCGGGAGAGGUGAGUGGAAUUCCCAGUGUAGCGGUGAAAUGCGUAGAUAUUGGGAGGAACACCAGUGGCGAAGGCGGCUCACUGGACCGGAACUGACGCUGAGGCGCGAAAGCGUGGGGAGCAAACAGG